AGAGUUUGAUCCUGGCUCAGAUUGAACGCUGGCGGCAGGCCUAACACAUGCAAGUCGAGCGGUAGAGAGAAGCUUGCUUCUCUUGAGAGCGGCGGACGGGUGAGUAAUGCCUAGGAAUCUGCCUGGUAGUGGGGGAUAACGUUCGGAAACGGACGCUAAUACCGCAUACGUCCUACGGGAGAAAGCAGGGGACCUUCGGGCCUUGCGCUAUCAGAUGAGCCUAGGUCGGAUUAGCUAGUUGGUGAGGUAAUGGCUCACCAAGGCGACGAUCCGUAACUGGUCUGAGAGGAUGAUCAGUCACACUGGAACUGAGACACGGUCCAGACUCCUACGGGAGGCAGCAGUGGGGAAUAUUGGACAAUGGGCGAAAGCCUGAUCCAGCCAUGCCGCGUGUGUGAAGAAGGUCUUCGGAUUGUAAAGCACUUUAAGUUGGGAGGAAGGGUUGUAGAUUAAUACUCUGCAAUUUUGACGUUACCGACAGAAUAAGCACCGGCUAACUCUGUGCCAGCAGCCGCGGUAAUACAGAGGGUGCAAGCGUUAAUCGGAAUUACUGGGCGUAAAGCGCGCGUAGGUGGUUUGUUAAGUUGGAUGUGAAAUCCCCGGGCUCAACCUGGGAACUGCAUUCAAAACUGACUGACUAGAGUAUGGUAGAGGGUGGUGGAAUUUCCUGUGUAGCGGUGAAAUGCGUAGAUAUAGGAAGGACACCAGUGGCGAAGGCGACCACCUGGACUAAUACUGACACUGAGGUGCGAAAGCGUGGGGAGCAAACAGGAUUAGAUACCCUGGUAGUCCACGCCGUAAACGAUGUCAACUAGCCGUUGGAAGCCUUGAGCUUUUAGUGGCGCAGCUAACGCAUUAAGUUGACCGCCUGGGGAGUACGGCCGCAAGGUUAAAACUCAAAUGAAUUGACGGGGGCCCGCACAGGCGGUGGAGCAUGUGGUUUAAUUCGAAGCAACGCGAAGAACCUUACCAGGCCUUGACAUCCAAUGAACUUUCUAGAGAUAGAUUGGUGCCUUCGGGAACAUUGAGACAGGUGCUGCAUGGCUGUCGUCAGCUCGUGUCGUGAGAUGUUGGGUUAAGUCCCGUAACGAGCGCAACCCUUGUCCUUAGUUACCAGCACGUCAUGGUGGGCACUCUAAGGAGACUGCCGGUGACAAACCGGAGGAAGGUGGGGAUGACGUCAAGUCAUCAUGGCCCUUACGGCCUGGGCUACACACGUGCUACAAUGGUCGGUACAGAGGGUUGCCAAGCCGCGAGAUGGAGCUAAUCCCAUAAAACCGAUCGUAGUCCGGAUCGCAGUCUGCAACUCGACUGCGUGAAGUCGGAAUCGCUAGUAAUCGCGAAUCAGAAUGUCGCGGUGAAUACGUUCCCGGGCCUUGUACACACCGCCCGUCACACCAUGGGAGUGGGUUGCACCAGAAGUAGCUAGUCUAACCUUCGGGAGGACGGUUACCACGGUGUGAUUCAUGACUGGGGUGAAGUCGUAACAAGGUAACCGUA
RNAcentral lists this ribosomal RNA (1500 nucleotides) under uncultured bacterium. RNAcentral describes it as "bacterial SSU rRNA". It matches the Rfam family "Bacterial small subunit ribosomal RNA". The record is from RNAcentral.